AUUGAACGCUGGCGGCAGGCCUAACACAUGCAAGUCGCACGAGUGGCGGACGGGUGAGUAAUGUCUGGGAAACUGCCUGAUGGAGGGGGAUAACUACUGGAAACGGUAGCUAAUACCGCAUACCAUCAUAUGUGCCCAGAUGGGAUUAGCUAGUUGGUGGGGUAACGGCUCACCAAGGAGACGAGCCCUAGCUGGUCUGAGAGGAUGACCAGACACACGGUAACUUAGCCACGGUGCAGAAUCCUAAGUGAGGCAGCAGUGGGGAAUAUUGGACAAUGGGCGCAAGCCUGAUGCAGCCAUGCCGCGUGUAUGAAGAAGGCCUUCGGGUUGUAAAGUACUUUCAGCGGGGAGGCGUUACCCGCAGAAGAAGCACCGGCUAACUCCGUGCCAGCAGCCGCGGUAAUUC
RNAcentral lists this ribosomal RNA (406 nucleotides) under uncultured bacterium. RNAcentral's name for it is "partial 16S ribosomal RNA". It matches the Rfam family "Bacterial small subunit ribosomal RNA", at positions 30 to 526 of the family's 1533-position model. The record is from RNAcentral.